Molecule: ribosomal RNA, 495 nt
Filed under: uncultured bacterium
Lineage: Bacteria
Description: partial 16S ribosomal RNA
Rfam family: Bacterial small subunit ribosomal RNA
Source: RNAcentral
GAUGAACGCUGGCGGCGUGCCUAAUACAUGCAAGUCGAGCGAACGGACGAGAAGCUUGCUUCUCUGAUGUUAGCGGCGGACGGGUGAGUAACACGUGGAUAACCUACCUAUAAGACUGGGAUAACUUCGGGAAACCGGAGCUAAUACCGGAUAAUAUUUUGAACCGCAUGGUUCAAAAGUGAAAGACGGUCUUGCUGUCACUUAUAGAUGGAUCCGCGCUGCAUUAGCUAGUUGGUAAGGUAACGGCUUACCAAGGCAACGAUGCGUAGCCGACCUGAGAGGGUGAUCGGCCACACUGGAACUGAGACACGGUCCAGACUCCUACGGGAGGCAGCAGUAGGGAAUCUUCCGUAAUGGGCGAAAGCCUGACGGAGCAACGCCGCGUGAGUGAUGAAGGUCGUCGGAUCGGAAAACUCUGUUAUUAGGGAAGAACAUAUGUGUAAGUAACUGUGCACAUCUUGACGGGACCUAAUCAGAAAGCCACGGCUAACUACG